Molecule: long non-coding RNA, 487 nt
Organism: Manduca sexta (tobacco hornworm)
Lineage: Eukaryota; Metazoa; Arthropoda; Insecta; Lepidoptera; Sphingidae
Exons: 3
Source: RefSeq, a predicted model, not a curated record
UGACAAUUAUUAAUAAUUACCGGUAGGACUAAAAUGAAUGAUAAUAACAAUAUCUUUAUUCCACCACUAAAACUGAUUAAAAAAAUAUUUAACGCGUUCCAGUGUUUCCGUCUACGUAAUUGUCCGCCUGAUAUUAUAUGCAGUUACCAUAAAUAUAAGACCUAACGCUUCUUUUCUUAGUUUGUGUCCAUACACCCAGACUCGCUGCAGGCCACUCGUGUUUACAGGAAUGUCUAUCAACAAAGAAUAUGUACCGGUGGCCGAUUUCUACGCGGGCAGGUCUGUGUUCCUCACCGGGGUCAGUGGAUUUCUCGGGAAGGAGGAUGCAUUUAAAAUGUGGUGCUGUUGAUGUCGAGAAUACCUUGGACUUUAUAUCGAACUAGCAAGGGCAUCCUAAAACAACUGCAUCUCAAACGAAGACAAUUUAAAUAAAUAAUAAUAAAUACAAUGCUUUAUUCAUCACGUAGGCGAUAAUUGCAUUUAUGAU